CUGAGAGCUCAGACAGGCCUCCUUCAAGAACUGCACAGGCUGGCUUUUCCGGCCAUGUGAUCGUGAGGACCCUGCGAUCACAUGGCACGGGAAGGCCGGAUUGGGCAGAGGGGGUGAGCUCCCAGGCAGACCCCAGGAUUGUGAUCGCCAGCGGGGGAUCACCAGCGAUCAGGUAAGUGAGGAUUUACUAUCGGACGUACCAAGUACGUCCGAGGUUGUUAACAACCUUUUUUUUUUGUCGGACGUACCUGGUACGUCAGAGGUCGGGAAGGGGAUAAUUACCUUGCAGGUUUAACUGCACCUCUUGUGGCUGACUGGCUGACUGGCUGACUGGCUGUCUACCAGACAGCUUUUAGAGUCUCUUCUGGGUUUUUAGGUACUGUUGGAUGCCUAACUGACACUGGAGGUCCUCACGUUUUGCAUGAGGACAUCCAGAGUCAUCUAAAACCACAUAGGAAAUCACUGAUUCAAUGCUGUCCUGUGGUGUUGUCCUAAUGCAAUUGCUCACCACGCAUUAGGCCCCCCCUACUGGCUG
Non-coding RNA from Pelobates cultripes (western spadefoot toad), 535 nucleotides. The record is from the annotation of a GenBank genome assembly. NCBI's taxonomy places the organism in Eukaryota, Metazoa, Chordata, Amphibia, Anura, Pelobatidae.